CAAGAAUUUAAAAAGAUAAAGCGUUAAUAGGCCAGACAUGGACCCAAUAAAGGAGCUGGAAAAGAUGGUCGAAACGCUGCCGCAAGUGAUGCAGCAUAGCGGCGCCCCUCAACGAAUCUGCUAUGACGAACUGCGAGCACGUCGGACUCUGACCGGCAAGCAGGACAGAUACGGC
This is a long non-coding RNA of Hyalella azteca, 175 nucleotides long. RefSeq lists it as uncharacterized. The record is from RefSeq and is a predicted model, not a curated record. The transcript is spliced from 3 exons. Lineage: Eukaryota; Metazoa; Arthropoda; Malacostraca; Amphipoda; Hyalellidae.